RNAcentral lists this ribosomal RNA (397 nucleotides) under uncultured bacterium. RNAcentral's name for it is "partial 16S ribosomal RNA". It matches the Rfam family "Bacterial small subunit ribosomal RNA", at positions 523 to 918 of the family's 1533-position model. The record is from RNAcentral.
AUACGUAGGGGACAAGCGUUAUCCGGAUUUACUGGGCGUAAAGGGCGUGUAGGCGGUCUUGCAAGUCAGAAGUGAAAUUCCUGAGCUCAAGUCGGGCGCUGCUUCUGAAACUGCAGGACUUGAGUGCUGGAGGGGAGAGCGGAAUUCCCAGUGGAACGGUAAAAUGCGCAGAUAUUAGGAAGAACACCGGUGGCGAAGGCGGCUAUCUGGACAGUAACUGACGCUGAGGCGCGAAAGCUUGGGGAGCAAACAGGAUUAGAUUCCCUGGUAGUCCACGCCGUAAACGAUGAAUACUAGGUGUAGGGGGUAUCGACUCCCUCUGUGCCGCAGUUAACACAAUAAGUAUUCCGCCUGGGGAGUACGGCCGCAAGGUUGAAACUCAAAUGAAUUGACGGGG